AAAAAUCGGAAAUUUUCCGAAACACCCAAAUCCGAUCCGAUCCGUCCGAUUUCCACCCCUAGUUGUAUUUCAUGUUUUACGUGAAGAUGAUUGACAUGAUAAAACAAACUAGACUAGAGCACACAUACAUACUGCUCUGGGACUCUGCCUCUUGAGUCGGCAUGACCUAACUGUGGUAAGGGUUCGAUUCGAACACUGUACUCUCUUGCUCCAUCAACUAGACGACCCCUGCCUUAAAUGUUCAAAUAUUUUAUUUUGAGCAAGUAUAAUUGAGAGGAGUUUGGAAAUUCAAAACAAACGCAAAUUUUCAAUUUCCCAAAACCAAACAUUGUAUAACAACUAAUUAAUUGCAUUUAAAAAAAAACUGGAAUCAAAUUUGAGAUGUGAGAUUUAUCUUCUUAUUACUUAAUAACGGAAAAAUACAUGUGGUGGCAUGUCAUUUGAGUUUCAAUCCUUUAUAAUAAUAAGUCUGUGUAAUAAUAUAUUAUACUAUAUAUAAUCCCCAAAAAGGAAAGCAAUAGAGGCGAACAUAUUGGCCUUGCCGUCCGUUUGAUUAUUACUCAACCCUCCGCCGUCGUAUCUCCG
RNAcentral lists this long non-coding RNA (585 nucleotides) under Erythranthe guttata (spotted monkey flower). RNAcentral's name for it is "long non-coding RNA (EGUT_LNC000067)". The record is from RNAcentral. Lineage: Eukaryota; Viridiplantae; Streptophyta; Magnoliopsida; Lamiales; Phrymaceae.